AUGAGGGUGACAAUCACAAAAGUGCUGCCCUCUUCUUUCUAUAUUCCUGCAGAAUCUGAGAAUUUUCAAUAUUCCCAAGCACAGAUUUGGCAACAUUACAUCUUUAUGACUGAAAAAACUAAGUUAAUUCUGACCCACAACCCACCCCCGCAGGAAAAAACAAACCAACCAAAGGAAACAACUGCAUGGAGGAGAGGACAUGGAUCCAUACAAGCAAAGGAGAAGGUGACAAAGGUGGAAAGAAACAGUAAAUUCUCACCUAUGUAAGAAACCGGAAAGCCUCAAGAAAUAAAAAUAACUCAACCUUCUUAGCCA
Molecule: long non-coding RNA, 315 nt
Filed under: Parus major (Great Tit)
Lineage: Eukaryota; Metazoa; Chordata; Aves; Passeriformes; Paridae
Description: lncRNA (ENSPMJG00000015729.1)
Source: RNAcentral